CCAAGUUUGUAUUUUGAAAUUUUUUGAGGUCUUUUAUUUUGAAGGGUCGUAACUUUUCUUGAUUGGCGGGCGGCACCUCUCGCGAUUGCACCUUUCAGGAAGGCGGUAUCCUCCAGACGACGUCGCAUUUUUAGGCUCCGCUUGAUGACGUAUGCAGCCUGCAAAUGCGACCUCCGGAGGAUUCAGCCUUCUGUUUGAGAAACGACCCUUGGCUUGCACACACACACCUGUGUGACCACCUGCACAGGAUUGUAGCAUAUCAUCAUAUAAUUGGAUGUUAUUUCUUGGAGUGUUUGACAAAUGCCCUGUCAUCUCCCGCUGCCUUUAUCUCCCAAUUACCCCUUUUCAAACCAGUUCACUUGGAAAAUGCACUCGGAUGGCGCGGGUUACUCGACUAGGGUUCCCGGACCAGGAAGAGACUGAUAUAUUUUGUAGAGCCAUGGCAGACCCCGUUUUCAAAGAAUGUUUCAUAAAACAGGGACACUGUGGCAAGUGAAUCUAUGAGACUCUCGGUAAGAGCAUUGUGCACCUAAUUCAUACUGAUGGAUCCAGGUCAACCCGCUAAAGGCGGCAUGGCAGCUCUUUUUCCAACCUUGACUUAAAUCCAGGAUUGUUAAAAUGAUAACGUUGAAUUUUGAGAAGUAGCCCGGGCACAGUGUUUUGAUUUCUGUGUGAAAUAUUUUAAGCAAGCAUAAUAUUUAAUACAAUUUUAUGCCAGUU
This is a long non-coding RNA of Misgurnus anguillicaudatus (oriental weatherfish), 720 nucleotides long. RefSeq lists it as uncharacterized. The record is from RefSeq and is a predicted model, not a curated record. Lineage: Eukaryota; Metazoa; Chordata; Actinopteri; Cypriniformes; Cobitidae.